GACUUGAAAUCUCAAUGAGCCAAGGAAUUGCAAGAGUAGUGGCCAAGUUCUUAUAUAGUAUUCUUUAACCACAAUCAGAAUUGGUUUAGAAUUCAAACUCAAGACAACAUGUAAACAUUACUUUAGCCUAAAGAAGGGGGAGAAAUUGCACUGUACAAAUGAAUAGUGACUUGAGCCGAAUUUUAUUUUAUCUACAAAAGUGCCACUGAGUCUCUCUGCCACUGCUUUAGCGGUUAGGUUAGUUCAUUUUCUGUUGUGUUUGCUAGGCUUACCUCAAUUGUUGAUGAGGCCGGCCCUUUGGGUGUUCAAAUGAUGGGAAUGCUAUGGAAGUUUUAAGUUUGUUUGAAUGUGUUUUUCAUAGAUUAAUUGAAUGUACAAGAGGGGAUACAUAAUAAGGUAGAAGGUUACAAGCAACCCUACCUUGGCAGAUCCUACUAACCCAAUAAACCCUAAAGCUGUCACUCCUUAAAUUAAGAGAGUGCAGCAAGUAGCUAGCACACAACUAUCAACAAGUCAUCUAGAUGUCAAUCUUCCUCAAAUUAAGGGAUUAGGCUUAAUAGAGAAUCUCAUGGGAAGAGGAAAUGUAAAAUCUGGUAGCAUGGCAACAUGGGUGUAUUAGUCAUCCAAUAUCCCAUAUCGUCUAAUAAAUGCCCAUCUAGGGUUAAGAUCGGAUGGCCAAGAUUAAAAGUUUGGAGGGUACUUUUAUCAUCUUAAUU
This 716-nucleotide long non-coding RNA is filed under the name Malus domestica (apple). RNAcentral describes it as "long non-coding RNA (MDOM_LNC006730)". The record is from RNAcentral. Lineage: Eukaryota; Viridiplantae; Streptophyta; Magnoliopsida; Rosales; Rosaceae.